Tripterygium wilfordii is the source of this 437-nucleotide long non-coding RNA. RefSeq lists it as uncharacterized. The record is from RefSeq and is a predicted model, not a curated record. The transcript has 2 exons. Lineage: Eukaryota; Viridiplantae; Streptophyta; Magnoliopsida; Celastrales; Celastraceae.
CAGUUUUCUCUCCGGUCGCCAAGAAACUGGAAGGCAGGCAAGCAUUCUGAACAAAAAUUGUAGAGGUUGAGAGUUGUUCUUGUGAGUAAUCGUGAAGCCAGUAUCGAAGAAAGUCCAUAUAGUGGUCAAGAAACUCAAUGGGGGUAGUAACACUAAGAAUGUUCAGAAGCAGAAUUGCUCCAUGCUUUGAUUCUAGGGAGCUCUCAGAGGACCUUAAAUUCUUAAUGGUACUGAAUUAACUUCUCACGGUUAGAAUGAGGUGUAUUGUGCCUUCUGCUGAUCCUAUGAGGAGAAGGAAAGUUACAAGCAAUUUUACUGGGAUGAAUUGUGUAUGCUUUCACUUCCUUAAUUUGAAUUUGCUGUACAAUGUUAUUGAAUUUUCUGUAUCUGGUAUACUUUGUGCUAUUUUUGGUGUUAAUUUAUGCUGCAUUGCACCA